GCCUUGGUGGUUUAGUGAUAGAAUUCUUGCCUUCCAUAUGGAAGACCCAGGUUCAAUUCUUGGCCAAUGUG
This 71-nucleotide transfer RNA is filed under the name Loxodonta africana (African savanna elephant). It matches the Rfam family "tRNA". Rfam says of the family: Transfer RNA (tRNA) molecules are approximately 80 nucleotides in length. Lineage: Eukaryota; Metazoa; Chordata; Mammalia; Proboscidea; Elephantidae. The record is from Rfam by way of RNAcentral.